Gorilla gorilla gorilla (western lowland gorilla) is the source of this 107-nucleotide small nuclear RNA. Lineage: Eukaryota; Metazoa; Chordata; Mammalia; Primates; Hominidae. The record is from Ensembl.
GCACUCACUUCAGCAGCACAUAUACUAAAAUUGGAAGGAUACAGACAAGAUUAGCAUGUUCCCUGUGCAAGGAUGACAUGUAAAUUUGUGAAGCAUUCCCUAUUUUU